This 330-nucleotide ribosomal RNA is filed under the name Malkaridae sp. LB-2014l. Its description in RNAcentral is "partial 12S ribosomal RNA". Lineage: Eukaryota; Metazoa; Arthropoda; Arachnida; Araneae; Malkaridae. The record is from RNAcentral.
AUUUAAACAAUAUAAGUAGUAAAAUUUUUUAUUAAAACUUUAAUAGAAUGGCGGCAUUUUAUCUUAUUAGAGGAACUCGUUUUUUAAUCGAUAACCCCCGUUAAUUUUCACUUAAAUUUAAAUUUUAUAUACCUCCAUCUUAAAAAAAUUUUAUUAUAAAUUUUUUUUUACAAAAAUUCUACUAAGUUAGGUCAUGGUGUAAACUAUAUAUAAGAUAAAAUAAGUUACUUUAAAUAAAAUUUAUAGAAAAUAAAAUAAAUUUUAACUACAAAAGGAUUUAAAAGUAAUAAAUAUAAUAUUAAUUAUAUAUGAAUAAAUAAAUAAAUGUGC